AGUGAACGCUGGCGGUAGGCCUAACACAUGCAAGUCGAACGGCAGCACAGUAAGAGCUUGCUCUUACGGGUGGCGAGUGGCGGACGGGUGAGGAAUACAUCGGAAUCUACUUUUUCGUGGGGGAUAACGUAGGGAAACUUACGCUAAUACCGCAUACGACCUACGGGUGAAAGCAGGGGAUCUUCGGACCUUGCGCGAUUGAAUGAGCCGAUGUCGGAUUAGCUAGUUGGCGGGGUAAAGGCCCACCAAGGCGACGAUCCAUAGCUGGUCUGAGAAGAUGAUCAGCCACACUGGAACUGAGACACGGUCCAGACUCCUACGGGAGGCAGCAGUGGGGAAUAUUGGACAAUGGACGAAAGCCUGAUCCAGCCAUACCGCGUGGGUGAAGCAGGCCUUCGGGUUGUAAAGCCCUUUUGUUGGGAAAGAAAAGCAGCAGGUUAAUACCCCGCUGUUCUGACGGUACCCAAAGAAUAAGCACCGGCUAACUUCGUG
RNAcentral lists this ribosomal RNA (492 nucleotides) under uncultured bacterium. RNAcentral describes it as "partial 16S ribosomal RNA". It matches the Rfam family "Bacterial small subunit ribosomal RNA", at positions 29 to 507 of the family's 1533-position model. The record is from RNAcentral.